Osmia lignaria (orchard mason bee) is the source of this 1307-nucleotide non-coding RNA. NCBI's taxonomy places the organism in Eukaryota, Metazoa, Arthropoda, Insecta, Hymenoptera, Megachilidae. The record is from RefSeq and is a predicted model, not a curated record.
CAGAUUUCUCGUUAGAGUUCUCGUCCAUGGAGACCUCGAUAACGUCAUCCUCGCCGGAAAUCGUUUCAACCGACCUGGACCGUUCCCUGAUAAAAUCUUUUCGGUUCGUGUGGAGAGAUAACAAGGGAACGUCCAAGAACAAACCUGCCCUGGAUCAUAACGAAAGAGUGGAGCUCGAGGAAAUCAAUUCUCAACUUACCUGGCAUCUUCCCAACGACACGAUGUGCAAGUGAAUCUUUUGUAUCUGACCAAGGAUAUCGCUGUCUAUAGGUCUUCUUCAUUUCAAUGCGGAAUAAAAACAGAGGACCCAAAUCACCCAAAAUGAUCGCGUACGUUCUGUUUAUCGGAGUUUCCAAUUUUCAAAGUUUCACCGGUCUACAUUUGCUUGGAUAAUCAGAAUUCUAAUGUUCGUCAAACUUUUCGCGUUAUCUCAGCAUCGCAAAGGAUACAUCUAUCGCGUUUAAUAGAAUUAUGACACAAGAACAUGGGAAACGAUCAUUUACACGAGUCUGCAAUCGACGCAAUAAUGACCACAGUCUAAUGACAAUUAUAUGGAUGCAAUGGAUGAUAAUGAAUUUCUAAUCGAAGACUAAAAAAGAAUCGGGAAACGAGAAAAACAAAUUCGGCCUACAAAGUGUUAACAAUUAACAUUAUUUUCGAAGAAUAUAUCGAUACAUGAGACGCGGUAAAAUGGCAAGACCAAAAAUAUAACUGAUAUCGAGACUGUUUUCCCUAGAUGCUCGAUACGAGAAACGCUGUUAUUACGGUGUUACCCAUCACGUCACGAGCUUUUACCCAUCUACGCCUUCACGUGUUUACCAAAUCCAAAUCGAUCCGUGAGAUUAGCAAAUGUAAACGACUUACGUUUGGGUCAUCCUUCAGUUUGCCCACGCAGAUCUGUAAAACGAGAAGAAAAUUCAGAAUUAAUAACAUUGUUGAGCCGUCUGAAACGUUUGCGUUAGAAUAUCGUAGAAGCUUUCGAAACGUGACCACUUUGUUCCGCGGCGCAAUAAUGCAAUUAUCCUAAUACAUUGUGCCUUGAUCCGUUGUGUCGAACAAAAUGAACCAACAUCAAAUAUUUUACAUCUAACGAAUCUCUCCCCGGUCUCCGUAUGUUUCUUAGAUCUUAACGAUAAUUUAAUCCUAGAAAAACUAAAGGAAUGUAAUUUUACUUUGUUUUUCAUGAUUGAUCAUGUAUGUAUGAAUAGUAAACAAAAAAAAGCUUCGUAUAGUCGUUCAAUGAGAAUCCCAUUGACCGUGAAAAUAUAAUCGUGUAAAAAAUAAAAUACAACGUGUAUAGAUUUAUU